AGGAGGAACAGCCCCAGUGGCGGGGCCAGCUCUGGAAACCUGGAUUCAGCUCCGGCAGGAACUCCGUCUGCAGGGCCUGGAGGCUCCGGGGCGGG
Non-coding RNA from Canis lupus familiaris (dog), 95 nucleotides. The record is from Rfam. Lineage: Eukaryota; Metazoa; Chordata; Mammalia; Carnivora; Canidae.